Molecule: non-coding RNA, 547 nt
Organism: Agelaius phoeniceus (red-winged blackbird)
Lineage: Eukaryota; Metazoa; Chordata; Aves; Passeriformes; Icteridae
Source: RefSeq, a predicted model, not a curated record
AGGGAAGUGACCUCCGGGAGGGGAGAAUUUCUUACUGCAGGUUGAAUGCUUGUCUAGAGGGAAAUGAGGAAAAGAGCGGAAGAAAAUGAAAGGGUCAAGUUUUAAAAUUUUUUUUUGCACAGGAUGGAAGUGAGCAGAAGAGAUGAAGCCGAGCUCUUCGUCAGCCCCAGAGUCUCGGGAAGCCCCUGAAACCUUCACUCUCCCCGCCAGCCUCAGCUGCCAGAGGGGCAUCUUUCAUCUCGGGGAUCCUUCCAGCGACGCCUUUGGCACGUUCACUGCUGCCGCCGUACCCCGCUCGGCCGUGAGCUACAGCUGCCCCCUGCCAUGGGGGUCCCCGUGGGAACGGGCGCGCCGGGGGGCCCCGGGCCAGGAUUUCGGCUGGGAGAGAGAGAGAGAGCCCGUGCUCCGUGCGAGGGGUCCGCGCCAUGGGCAGCACUCCGGCCGUCUCGCCAAGCCGUGCCCCCAGCACUGGGCAGCGCCAGCGACUGCUUUGACGCAAGGGUUUUUCCCUAAAUCGUGUAGAAAUAAAAUAAAAACAAUAAAAGUA